UGGAGGUUUAUUUUGUCCAAGACCUUGUGCCCAGGAGGCGAACUCGGCUGGAGGCGAGGUCAGCUGACCGCGAUGCCCCCUGGAGGUGCCGCCGCACAGGGUCCCGCGUGGAUAGUCCUCGGGGAAACGGCCUUUCCACGCGGAUCCUUCUUCAUCUGGGACAUUGACGCUGUCAUGUUGUUUAAUUUCUAUCAUAUCUCACACAGCUAAUCAUUUUAAAUCUGUGAAGUUUCUUCUGAAAAUUAGGACUUUGUAGUUGCCACAAGUUCCACUAGAGGGCGGCAAAGGGCUACAUCUGAGCGAAGCUGCUGGGAGGAAAAACGAUUGAAAAGCCUUUGCUGGGGUUAAGCGGAAUGCGCGGGGCGUCUGCUCCCCGGCUUCCCAACGUAAAAUCGUUGUAACUGCUAGAAGCAUCAGAGAACUUUAAUGGACCAGCAGUAAACCGUGUGUGUUGGGCACACAAUUUACAAAUGAGAAAUCGAGCUCACUGCCCCGAAGAGGAUCACAGCCCAGGCCAUGCUUCCAACCCAGCGGGACCCACUUCUUGGAGGAGAGCUGGCAGCCAGCCCGGGCUCCUGGGCAGGCCCUUGGAGUGGGCGCAGAUCCUGGGCUUCCCCCAAACACACCUGAAGCAGCCCUUCCAGUCAUGUGGCGACUCUCCAUGAGAGGAAUUCUCGUAAAUGCAGUUUUCUUCAUCUGGUUGAACAGUCAGCCCUCCUUAUUUGAGGUUCCGCAUCUUCUGAUUCAACCAACUGCUGAUGGAAAGGCCCACGAUGGUUGCAUCUGUACUGAACAUGUACAGACUUUUUUUCUUGUCAUUAUUAUCUAAACAGUACAGUCUAACACUAUUCACAUAGCAUUUACAUUGUAUUAGGUAUUAUAAGUAAUCUAGAGAUGACAAAGAAAGUAGAGGAUGUGCAUGGGUUAUAUGGAAAUACUACACCAUUUUGUGUAAGGGACUUGAGCAUCCUGGAUUUUGGUAUCCCUGGGGGUCCUGGACCAAUCUCCUGUGGAUACAAAGGGACAACUGUAUUUCAAGAGUGGUUUUAGUAUUUCAGUUGCUUUUUCUUGUUCUUUGUGUCUUGAGGGAUCCGCCCAGCUGGCCAACCCUCCAACCUGACUCUGCUCCUGUUGAGCUGUAGGAAGAAACUGUCUUCUCAAGUCAGACGCAGGAAGCUGGGCCAGCCCCAGGAAGGCUGGGCUAGAGUUGGCAAUCGUUUGGGAGGAGGAAAACAAAUCUGAUGGACUGCAAGGGGAAGCGGCUGGGUGUGGCGAGGGCAACGGCUUCCUCAUCUCUGUGUGAGCCGAAGAAAGGGGUUCCGAAAGGGACAAGGAGCUAUGUGUGAGCCCGUAUGUCUUCAGGGGAUAAAACGCUGCUGUAUGUUAAUCACCCCUGAACUAGAGAAGGACUCACAAUAUUUUUUUUAAUUUGAGUUUAUUUUUAAUUUCAGCUUUAUUGAGGUAUAAUUGACAUAUAAAAUUCUAAGAUAUUUAAAGUGUACAUCAGAAUGAUUUAAUAUAUGUACACUCUGUGAAAGGAUUCCCCUGUCUAACUAACUAACACAUCUAUCACCUCACAGAUUUAUCUUUCUUUUUUUUUUUGGUGAGAACAUUUCAAUUCUACUCUCUUAGCAGAUUCAUCAUACCUUCAUGCCUCUUUUCCUCAGACUGUCAAUUGUAAUUACAUACAAGGGAAGUGAAGAGUUAUUUUAAAAUAUUAUUGGUGCCAAAUGAGUAAAUGGGUGGGGAAGAAGGAAUAGUCUUUUACUGAGGGACAACAUUUGUGAGGACUUUAAAAAAUCUAGAAACUCUAAAAUCAAGAGAAAACUGCGUCAAUAGUUCAAAUGUUUCUGAAUAAGUCAAGACAGAGGCAAGAUUGUCAUUGGAAAGCCAAGUUCACUCAUCCAUCCUAGGUCCUGUGCCAACAUCGAGCAGAGCCUAAGGGAACCUCGCUCGCAGGGUCCCCAUGGUCCUGCUAAGAUGCCCCCCUGUCCUGGACACCAGUGGUCCCAAGACGACAAACCCUGAGAGAUCCCUGACAGUCACCCUCUUCCUUCUGCUACCAGCGUCCCAACUUUGCUCCAACAUCAACACGGACAGUUCCAGAGGAUGUGCCAUCUGGGUCUAAGCCACUCAUUGCAAUCCUGUAUCCUUUUGACAUUGGGGAUUGGACUAAGGCAGGGUUAGGGUAUGUCAAUCUUUUUUUCAUUGUUGACAUCCUAAGGAACUAUCUUAGCUAUUUUUUUCCCUAAUCAACCCUCUCUGCCCCAUGACAUUUUAAUACCACAGAUAUUCUGAAUAUCUGUUUAUGUAGUGUAUGGAUAUUAUGGUUUGUUUAUAAAUAAAAAGAUUUCUUUGCCCCUGCCAAGAACUUAUUUUUACCCCUUUGGGGGUGAUAUGGUCCCUGCUGAGAAUGCCUGGUGUAAGGGAUUGCAACACUGUUGAUAAUAGCAGACUGGAAAUCACUUAAAUGUCCCUCAGUAAGGACUGGUGAAAUAAACUAUGCCACACCCGAGGCAUAUGACACUAUGUAGCCACACACACACAAAAUGAGGAGUCUCCUAUCUACUCAUAUGGCAAGAUUUCCAAAAUAUAUUAAGUAAAAAAUGCAAGGAACAGAUGUGCCAUUCUCGCAAAAACAGGAAGAAUGGAAAUAUGUAUUUGUAUGUGCCCAAAUUAUCACAGAAAAGAUAUAUGUGGCACUAGUGACACUGGUGACUUAGAGGGAAGACAACUAGGUGACAACAGGAUGGAGAUGGGAGACAAAACUUUGACUGUCUACACCAUGUGAUUGUGCU
Long non-coding RNA from Equus caballus (horse), 2798 nucleotides. Lineage: Eukaryota; Metazoa; Chordata; Mammalia; Perissodactyla; Equidae. The record is from Ensembl.